GACGAACGCUGGCGGCGUGCCUAACACAUGCAAGUCGAACGGAACUUACCGAAUGAAGUUUUCGGAUGGAUUUUGAUAAGUUUAGUGGCGGACGGGUGAGUAACGCGUGAGUAACCUGCCUUCAAGAGGGGAAUAACGUUCUGAAAAGAACGCUAAUACCGCAUAACAUACGGAUGUCGCAUGGCAACCGUAUCAAAGAUUUAUCGCUCGAGGAUGGACUCGCGUCCGAUUAGCUUGUUGGCGGGGUAACGGCCCACCAAGGCGACGAUCGGUAGCCGGACUGAGAGGUUGAACGGCCACAUUGGGACUGAGACACGGCCCAG
RNAcentral lists this ribosomal RNA (323 nucleotides) under uncultured bacterium. RNAcentral describes it as "bacterial SSU rRNA". It matches the Rfam family "Bacterial small subunit ribosomal RNA", at positions 28 to 334 of the family's 1533-position model. The record is from RNAcentral.